UGGAUGCUGCCCAAGACCCAGAGCUGCACUCGCCCAGCUUGCACCAGCCAGCAUCCACACAUGAGCUCCUCCACCCUACACUGCUCCCAGCAGGUCAAUAGGGGUGUGUCCCAUACCUGAGAUGCCACCUAAAACACUACCUACAGAAACAAAGUACUACUUGGACAACCCCAGGAAGACUGAUGCCAUGACUGAUGCAUUUCCUUAGCUUCACAUGCAGAGAACAGUUCGGACAUACAAGGAAGUAUUCCACAUCAAUCAGUCUCACAGAAAGGCAUCUCGUGAUGCCCAGAGCAUCAGUACACCCUGAGCUCCAGAACAGGCACCACAGCAGCAGGCUGGAGCACCUGGGAGCACUGGGCUCCCCAGCAGUACCCAUCUGCCUUGGAGAAGCAAUAAAACCACGCACAUACUUAUCAUCCUGACAUCUCCCCCACCUCUUACCAUGUGUCCAUCAACCUCCAGCUCACAGAAAUCAUACCAAUUCAGAGACUCAUUUAUUAAAGUCAACACAGUCCUCUUCUACAGUUUUAAUGUCAGUAAAUCUGGAUUCAUUCUGAGCCAACAAACCACUAAGACUGGUUGGGAACAAGUUUUUCCUCUUGUGUUAAAUAAGCAUCUGCUGAAAACACAGAAUUAAUCCACUGGCUGGGAAGCACAACAGUCUGGAUCACUCCUUCAGCCAGUGACCUCCCCACCUCUGGCAGGCUGCUCCAAGCCUCUGGAAAUGCAGGUACACAAACAACUGCAAUAAACCCAUGCAACACUGCCACUCAAGAGCACUGUCCCAGCUCUCACUUCUCAUUGCACUGGUCCCUCCUUUACCCCAGCACACACAGCACUUGGGUUUAGCCCGUGCAAAGAGCUAAAAGCUCCUCUAAUUAUUGCUGCUAAUAAAGCACUGGGAUGGACUCCCCACCACCACACCAAGCACAUGCUGACACUGGGACUGCACAAGAGGAGCAGGGGCUGGCAGCAAGAACAAGACCUCCCCCAGCAUCAACAGCUUUUACGUUCCCCUGGCUGUCAGACCGAAAAACAACAGAUAAAAGCAACGAUGUGGGACAGAAAUCCUGAAGCACCACUGGAAGGACACUGGGG
Cyanistes caeruleus (blue tit) is the source of this 1101-nucleotide non-coding RNA. The record is from RefSeq and is a predicted model, not a curated record. Lineage: Eukaryota; Metazoa; Chordata; Aves; Passeriformes; Paridae.